RNAcentral lists this transfer RNA (66 nucleotides) under Neanthes glandicincta. RNAcentral describes it as "tRNA-Ala". Lineage: Eukaryota; Metazoa; Annelida; Polychaeta; Phyllodocida; Nereididae. The record is from RNAcentral. RNAcentral also lists the same sequence under 1 other name.
GGCUGUAUAGCCUAACUCAAGGCAUUUGAAUUGCAAUCAAAUCAUGUAAUAAUUUUACUACAGCCA